UACGAAGGGGGCUAGCGUUGCUCGGAAUCACUGGGCGUAAAGCGCACGUAGGCCGAUUGUUAAGUCAGGGGUGAAAUCCUGGAGCUCAACUCCAGAACUGCCUUUGAUACUGGCGACCUUGAGUCCGGGAGAGGUGAGUGGAACUGCGAGUGUAGAGGUGAAAUUCGUAGAUAUUCGCAAGAACACCAGUGGCGAAGGCGGCUCACUGGCCCGGUACUGACGCUGAGGUGCGAAAGCGUGGGGAGCAACAGG
RNAcentral lists this ribosomal RNA (252 nucleotides) under uncultured bacterium. Its description in RNAcentral is "partial 16S ribosomal RNA". It matches the Rfam family "Bacterial small subunit ribosomal RNA", at positions 524 to 775 of the family's 1533-position model. The record is from RNAcentral.